This 671-nucleotide long non-coding RNA is filed under the name Rattus norvegicus (Norway rat). RNAcentral describes it as "long non-coding RNA NONRATT020716". Lineage: Eukaryota; Metazoa; Chordata; Mammalia; Rodentia; Muridae. The record is from RNAcentral.
UGGACGCGCGGCCGCAUACGGAGCCGGGCCGCACGCGCGAGGCCGUGCCAGGCGACGCCGAGUCCAGUCACCACAGGCUCGGCCAGGCCAGCAUGGUGGACCACUUGCUUCCAGUGGACGAGACCUUCUCGUCACCGAAAUGCCCAGUGGGAUACCUGGGAGAUAGGCUGGCCAACAUUAUCACUGGGGAAGGAGUGUUUUGGCUGUGUCGAAAUAGUAGCUCCCAGAGGAAGCCAUGCUGAGAAAAAGGAAGUAGGUCAAAAGCGCAGGGCUGUACUGUGGUGCGAGGACCGCCAUAUGCAAGAGGCCUCUGAGGGUCCAGGAGGAUGGCCACCCUCGCUCUAGGCCCUAACGCAAGUGCUUAAAUGCAAGACAAAUGGAGCCAUAUCCAUCCAUACCCAGCCUGGCUCACCCUCCUCCAGACGCCAACCUCCUGGCUGUGGUGGGAAGCGAAAGGAGCAGGUCUGGUGGAUGCAAAGCGACUAGCUAGCGCCUCCCAGUCUGACUUAGAUCCGCAUUCCUCGUCAGGUCUAGAAAUUAGUACCAAUUGAACUAGCUUGUUUCGACAGGUCUGUUUCACAUCCUAUGAAUGUAUGUAAAUAAACUGUACAUAGGUGCGCAUCUACAUAAAAUAUCUUUUAAUAACACGUUGACAUUUGUGUAAAUUUGAA